UUUGUUUUUACUUUGUUCAGUUUUGAGAGGUUUACUCUCAAAUACUUUUGUUCAUUGAAAACUGGAUAUUUGAAGUAAAUGUAAGUAAUACAAACCGAGAACACCGCGUUGAAUUUGAAAGCUGAACAAAUUGUUUAGCCUGAAGCAAAAUAGGCGGACGGCCAUAAAAUCUUUGAUUUUAUGAGACGAUCGAUCUUUUUGCCGUACAGGCUGAUUUGUGAGCUGGAUAGAGUUUUUUAAUAAGUUCAAUUGCUUAUUUUCUUGAUCUAACUUCUAUCGCUAGAAGAAGGAUCAAAACCCAACCGUAAGGUUGAUAAGGUUAAGUGAAUAAGGGCGCACGGUGGAUGCCUUNAAUUGACGGGGGCCCGCACAAGCGGUGGAGCAUGUGGUUUAAUUCGAAGCAACGCGAAGAACCUUACCAGGUCUUGACAUCCUUUGACCACUCUAGAGAUAGAGCUUCCCCUUCGGGGGCAAAGUGACAGGUGGUGCAUGGUUGUCGUCAGCUCGUGUCGUGAGAUGUUGGGUUAAGUCCCGCAACGAGCGCAACCCUUAUUGUUAGUUGCCAUCAUUCAGUUGGGCACUCUAGCAAGACUGCCGGUGACAAACCGGAGGAAGGUGGGGAUGACGUCAAAUCAUCAUGCCCCUUAUGACCUGGGCUACACACGUGCUACAAUGGGAAGUACAACGAGUUGCGAAGUCGCGAGGCUAAGCUAAUCUCUUAAAGCUUCUCUCAGUUCGGAUUGCAGGCUGCAACUCGCCUGCAUGAAGCCGGAAUCGCUAGUAAUCGCGGAUCAGCACGCCGCGGUGAAUACGUUCCCGGGCCUUGUACACACCGCCCGUCACACCACGAGAGUUUGUAACACCCGAAGUCGGUGAGGUAACCUUUUUGGAGCCAGCCGCCUAAGGUGGGAUAGAUGAUUGGGGUGAAGUCGUAACAAGGUAGCCGUAUCGGAAGGUGCGGCUG
This 964-nucleotide ribosomal RNA is filed under the name Enterococcus faecium. Its description in RNAcentral is "bacterial SSU rRNA". The stretch from base 321 to 964 matches the Rfam family "Bacterial small subunit ribosomal RNA", at positions 874 to 1520 of the family's 1533-position model. The record is from RNAcentral. Lineage: Bacteria; Bacillati; Bacillota; Bacilli; Lactobacillales; Enterococcaceae.